RNAcentral lists this ribosomal RNA (1463 nucleotides) under uncultured bacterium. RNAcentral describes it as "bacterial SSU rRNA". It matches the Rfam family "Bacterial small subunit ribosomal RNA". The record is from RNAcentral.
CGUUAGAGUUUGAUCCUGGCUCAGGAUAAACGCUGGCGGCGUGCUUAACACAUGCAAGUCGAACGCUCUUGGGAGGGCAACUUUCCAAGGGAGUGGCGGACGGGUGAGGAACACGUGGGUUAUCUACCUUGAGGUGAGGAAUACCGGCGAGAAAUCGCCGACAAUACCGCAUACGUUUGGAGACAAACAAAGUCCCGGCAACGGGACGCCACAAGAUGAGCCUGCGCCCGAUUAGCUAGUUGGUGAGGUAAAAGCUUACCAAGGCGACAAUCGGUAGCUGGUCUGAGAGGACGAUCAGCCACACUGGGAUUGAGAACGGCCCAGACUCCUACGGGGGGCAGCAGUGAGGAAUUUUCGUCAAUGGGGGAAACCCUGAACGAGCAACGCCGCGUGCAGGAAGAAGGUUUUCGGAUCGUAAACUGCUUUUCUUGGGGAAGAGAACGGACGGUACCCAAGGAAGAAGCCCCGGCUAACUACGUGCCAGCAGCCGCGGUAAUACGUAGGGGGCGAGCGUUGUCCGGAUUUAUUGGGCGUAAAGGGCACGCAGGCGGUCUUGCGCGUUUCGAGUGACAGGUGAUGGCUUAACCAUGACAGGCCUCGGAAGACGGCAAGACUUGAGAGCUUCAGAGGGACGCGGAAUUCCAGGUGGAGCGGUGAAAUGCGUAGAGAUCUGGAAGAACACCAAAGGCGAAGGCAGCGUUCUGGGAAGUAUCUGACGCUCAGGUGCGAAAGCUAGGGGAGCGAACGGGAUUAGAUACCCCGGUAGUCCUAGCCGUAAACGAUGACCACUAGACGUGGGGAGGUAUCGACCCCUUCCGUGUCGCAGCUCACGCAUGAAGUGGUCCGCCUGGGGAGUACGGUCGCAAGAUUAAAACUCAAAGGAAUUGACGGGGACCCGCACAAGCAGCGGAGCGUGUGGUUUAAUUCGAUGCAACGCGAAGAACCUUACCAAGACUUGACAUGGACUUGCACCAGCCGUAAUGGGCUGUCCCGGAAACGGGCGGGUUCACAGGUGCUGCAUGGCUGUCGUCAGCUCGUGUCGUGAGAUGUUGGGUUAAGUCCCGCAACGAGCGCAACCCCUAUCGUUAGUUGAAUGAUCUAGCGAGACUGCCACGCUAAACGUGGAGGAAGGUGGGGAUGACGUCAAGUCAGCACGGCCCUUACGUCUUGGGCUACACACACGCUACAAUGGUCGGGACAAAGAGUUGCCAACCCGCGAGGGGGAGCUAAUCUCAUCAAAUCCGAUCUCAGUUCAGAUUGCAGGCUGAAACUCGCCUGCAUGAAGGAGGAGUUGCUAGUAACCGUGGGUCAGCACACCACGGUGAAUACGUUCCCGGGUCUUGUACACACCGCCCGUCACACCACGAAAGUCGGCAACACCUGAAGCCGCUGGGCUAACGCGCAAGCGGGGCAAGCGUCGAGGGUGGGGUUGGUGAUUGGGGUGAAGUCGUAACAAGGUAACC